Non-coding RNA from Schistosoma mattheei, 46 nucleotides. The record is from Rfam. NCBI's taxonomy places the organism in Eukaryota, Metazoa, Platyhelminthes, Trematoda, Strigeidida, Schistosomatidae.
GCACUACUGAGGAGCCCCAUACUAGGACGAAACGGCCGUCCAGUGC